Daphnia pulicaria is the source of this 440-nucleotide long non-coding RNA. RefSeq lists it as uncharacterized. The transcript has 3 exons. The record is from RefSeq and is a predicted model, not a curated record. NCBI's taxonomy places the organism in Eukaryota, Metazoa, Arthropoda, Branchiopoda, Diplostraca, Daphniidae.
AUAUUUUAAAUGCAUUCAGAUAAAAUCUCGUUGAGUGUAGAGACUUGAAAUUUUCACCGUAUGUAGAAGUGCUCAAAGGCAGCAAUACGCAAAAGACCACCGAUAGCGGACUAUUUUCGUGCCAUGUUUAUGGUUUAUUGGAGAAAUGGCAGAAAAGUGAUGUAUACCGCUUUGUGAAAUACUUGGUAUUGCGCAACUAUCUUUGUGAAUAUCUUAUGCAUGGCUCAAAGGGAAAUGUUUAUGGUGUUUUAAAACCUGGAUUGAAAUCACUUGACGCAAAGGUAUUAUUUUCUUGGCCUUCUGAAAUUUCUGCUGGUACGUCUAUGUCGUCUUCACUUUCAACACCUGAUCCUGAACCUAUGGACGUUAGUGGUGAGUGCUCUAUGACGAUGAUUUUGAAAGCACCAGUUUCAUUGUCAGCCGCGCAAAGAAACGAAAGA